Molecule: transfer RNA, 91 nt
Filed under: Deltaproteobacteria bacterium
Lineage: Bacteria; Pseudomonadati; Myxococcota; Myxococcia
Description: tRNA-Ser
Rfam family: tRNA
About the family: Transfer RNA (tRNA) molecules are approximately 80 nucleotides in length. Their secondary structure includes four short double-helical elements and three loops (D, anti-codon, and T loops).
Source: RNAcentral
GGAGAGAUGCCCGAGUGGACGAAGGGGGCUGACUCGAAAUCAGUUGUGCCGUUACGCGGCACCGGGGGUUCGAAUCCCCCUCUCUCCGCCA